CUGGAGAGGAGGCUACGCCUUUCACAGGGCACACUGGAAAAAGAGGAAAAGCGUCCCCCGUAAAAGGAAACCAACGGCAGGUCCUGGCUACCACCACGGAAGGGAACUGAGGACCUUCAACAGGGGUGGGGUGGCAGAGAAGCUUUGGGUUGAGACAACUCUGAAGUACACCUAACUUCGAGGAAGAUAGGAGAUCCUGCCUCUGGAGCCUGGGAACGCAACCUGCUUUGGUAACUGACCUGGACAUGAGGUUUGAGCACCAAGUACCAGUUCAUGACCCUGAGCAGUCACCGCAUACUUUGAAACUCCGCAGAAAUCCCCAUUCCUCCAGUGAGUUCCCAGCCAAGAAAGAAAAAAAGAAAAAAAAAGAAUGGGGGGCACACUUUUAAAAAGAA
Molecule: non-coding RNA, 395 nt
Organism: Peromyscus maniculatus bairdii (prairie deer mouse)
Lineage: Eukaryota; Metazoa; Chordata; Mammalia; Rodentia; Cricetidae
Source: RefSeq, a predicted model, not a curated record